ACGUAGGUGGCAAGCGUUAUCCGGAAUUAUUGGGCGUAAAGCGCGCGCAGGCGGUUUCUUAAGUCUGAUGUGAAAGCCCACGGCUCAACCGUGGAGGGUCAUUGGAAACUGGGGAACUUGAGUGCAGAAGAGAAAAGCGGAAUUCCACGUGUAGCGGUGAAAUGCGUAGAUAUCGGGAGGAACACCUGUGGCGAAAGCGGCUCUCUGGACCACAACUGACGCUGAGGCGCGAAAGCUAGGGGAGCAAACAGGA
Molecule: ribosomal RNA, 253 nt
Filed under: uncultured prokaryote
Description: partial 16S ribosomal RNA
Rfam family: Bacterial small subunit ribosomal RNA
Source: RNAcentral